Molecule: transfer RNA, 72 nt
Filed under: Camelus bactrianus (Bactrian camel)
Lineage: Eukaryota; Metazoa; Chordata; Mammalia; Artiodactyla; Camelidae
Also listed under: 2 other names
Rfam family: tRNA
About the family: Transfer RNA (tRNA) molecules are approximately 80 nucleotides in length. Their secondary structure includes four short double-helical elements and three loops (D, anti-codon, and T loops). Further hydrogen bonds mediate the characteristic L-shaped molecular structure. tRNAs have two regions of fundamental functional importance: the anti-codon, which is responsible for specific mRNA codon recognition, and the 3' end, to which the tRNAs corresponding amino acid is attached (by aminoacyl-tRNA synthetases). tRNAs cope with the degeneracy of the genetic code in two manners: having more than one tRNA (with a specific anti-codon) for a particular amino acid; and 'wobble' base-pairing, i.e. permitting non-standard base-pairing at the 3rd anti-codon position.
Source: Rfam by way of RNAcentral
GAGGGUGUAGCUCAGUGGUAGAGUGCCUGCUUAGUGGACAUGAGCUCCUGGGUUCAAUCCCCAGUGCCUCCC